Molecule: ribosomal RNA, 415 nt
Filed under: Deltaproteobacteria bacterium
Lineage: Bacteria; Pseudomonadati; Myxococcota; Myxococcia
Description: bacterial SSU rRNA
Rfam family: Bacterial small subunit ribosomal RNA
Source: RNAcentral
AUUGGAGAGUUUGAUCCUGGCUCAGAGCGAACGCUAGCGGCGCGCUUAACACAUGCAAGUCGCACGAGAAAGAGGGGCAACCCUUUAGUAAAGUGGCGCACGGGUGAGUAACACGUGGGUAAUCUCCCCCCGAGACUGGAAUAACCCGCCGAAAGGUGGGCUAAUACCGGAUAAGACCACGGGACGCAAGUCCUGGGGUCAAAGGCGGGUCAGCAAUGGCCUGUCACUCAGGGAUGAGCCCGCGUCCCAUCAGCUAGUUGGUGAGGUAACGGCUCACCAAGGCUAAGACGGGUAGCUGGUCUUAGAGGACGAUCAGCCACACUGGCACUGGAACACGGGCCAGACUCCUACGGGAGGCAGCAGUGGGGAAUUAUGGACAAUGGACGAAAGUCUGAUCCAGCGACGCCGCGUGAAG